RNAcentral lists this long non-coding RNA (675 nucleotides) under Homo sapiens (human). RNAcentral's name for it is "HSALNT0214762". Lineage: Eukaryota; Metazoa; Chordata; Mammalia; Primates; Hominidae. The record is from RNAcentral.
GGCAGAGGUGACAUUCCGGGGGCAGCCAAGACCAGGCAUUAAGGAGACUCCAGCAGCUCCCGUUUUUGUGUUCUGGUGGAAGCACAUCGCCAUAGAAGUCUCCUUACCGCUGAGGCAGGAGAAUAGGGUCUGGAGGCAGGGAACUUAAGCCCAAUUCAUGCCGACUUCCUAAAGCUGAAUCAAGGGAAAACACCAAGGUCUGGGGGCAGGACUCUGAGGCCAAUUCACGAUAAUUUCCCAAAGCUGGACCAAAAGGGGAGCACCUGUGUCUGGGGCAGGGAACCAAAGAACAAUUAAUGCCAACUUCCUAAAGCUAAACCAAAAGAGAAAACCCCAGCUCCCCACGCCCAGUAACAAAGGAUCAAAGGCCACUCUCCCUACAGCCCUCCGGCUUCCACCACAGCUCAGAUGGAAAGGGAGAGUGCCCUGGAUUGGCCGCGGGCCGAGCAGGGGCCAUGCCUUCAUCUGCCUAGGGCUCUAAUUCACCCCAGCCUGUAAUUAGCCACGGACCAAAUCCUUCAUCCAGAUCAGGGGUAACUGAUAGGAAUCUCCAAAGGAGGGCUUAAAACCCAGAAAACUUUGUAACUGGGCCCUUAAGCUGUGUGCUUGGGCCCACUCCCACCCUGUGGAGUACUUUCUUGCUUUAAUAAAUAUCUGCUUUCAUUGCUUCCUUCC